GGUUAAGCGACUAAGCGUACACGGUGGAUGCCCUGGCAGUCAGAGGCGAUGAAGGGCGUGCUAAUCUGCGAUAAGCGCCGGUAAGGUGAUAUGAACCGUUAUAACCGGCGAUACCCGAAUGGGGAAACCCAGUGUGACUCGUCACACUAUCAUUAACUGAAUCCAUAGGUUAAUGAGGCGAACCGGGGGAACUGAAACAUCUAAGUACCCCGAGGAAAAGAAAUCAACCGAGAUUCCCCCAGUAGCGGCGAGCGAACGGGGAGGAGCCCAGAGCCUGAAUCAGCAUGUGUGUUAGUGGAAGCGUCUGGAAAGGCGCGCGAUACAGGGUGACAGCCCCGUACACAAAAGCGUAUGUGCUGUGAGCUCGAUGAGUAGGGCGGGACACGUGGUAUCCUGUCUGAAUAUGGGGGGACCAUCCUCCAAGGCUAAAUACUCCUGACUGACCGAUAGUGAACCAGUACCGUGAGGGAAAGGCGAAAAGAACCCCGGCGAGGGGAGUGAAAAAGAACCUGAAACCGUGUACGUACAAGCAGUGGGAGCACCCUUUGG
RNAcentral lists this ribosomal RNA (549 nucleotides) under Salmonella enterica. RNAcentral's name for it is "partial 23S ribosomal RNA". It matches the Rfam family "Bacterial large subunit ribosomal RNA", at positions 1 to 591 of the family's 2925-position model. Lineage: Bacteria; Pseudomonadati; Pseudomonadota; Gammaproteobacteria; Enterobacterales; Enterobacteriaceae. The record is from RNAcentral.